This 468-nucleotide ribosomal RNA is filed under the name uncultured bacterium. RNAcentral describes it as "partial 16S ribosomal RNA". It matches the Rfam family "Bacterial small subunit ribosomal RNA", at positions 28 to 507 of the family's 1533-position model. The record is from RNAcentral.
GACGAACGCUGGCGGCGUGCUUAACACAUGCAAGUCGAACGGAAAGGCCCUGCUUUUGUGGGGUGCUCGAGUGGCGAAGGGGUGAGUAACACGUGAGUAACCUGCCCUUGACUUUGGGAUAACUUCAGGAAACUGGGGCUAAUACCGGAUAGGAGCUCCUGCUGCAUGGGGGGGGUUGGAAAGUUGCGGCGGUUGGGGAUGGACUCGCGGGUUAUCCGCUUGUUGGUGGGGUUGUGGCUUACCAAGUCUUUGACUGGUAGCCGGCCUUGGAGGGUGGACGGCGACAAUGGUACUGCGGUAGGGCGCAGUAGGCUAUCGUCGGCAGUGGGGGAAAAUAUGGCACAACGGCGGCACGCGUGAGACGACAGUGCCCGGUGCGGAAUACCCUCUUACGGGGGAAGAACCGCUUUCUCAUUUGAUGAGGCGGGAGUGACGGUAAUUGGUAAAGAAGCACCGGCUAACUACGUG